This 5868-nucleotide long non-coding RNA is filed under the name Sus scrofa (pig). RNAcentral describes it as "lncRNA (ENSSSCG00060044947.1)". Lineage: Eukaryota; Metazoa; Chordata; Mammalia; Artiodactyla; Suidae. The record is from RNAcentral.
GAGCCACAUCUGAGACCUACACCACAGCUCACUGAAACACUGGAUCCUUAACCCAUUGAGUGAGUUGAACCUGCAUCCUCAUGCUUACUAGUCAGAUUUGUCUCCACUAGCCAAGACAGGAACUCCUGCCAGGUUCCUUUUAAAGCAGGCAAGCGGCAAACACUUUUUUCUAAACCGAAUAAAUUGCCUAAUCCUAGAAGACAAAAGCCAGAGAAAUGGGCACCUGGAACCAGGAACCGCAGAAAAAAAUUUCCAAGAGGGAAUAUGCAAGCGGGAGAUAGGUACAUAGGGAUGUCUCAUCAAGGAAGAUUCCACGCAGGAAAAGUUCUCCAAGGAAGUUCCUUUAUUAAUGGACACCCCAAGAGCAUUUAUCAAACCCUUACUGCGUGACAGAUAUUUGUAAGAAUGUAAAGUGUGUUAGAUCUCAUCCUUGGUCCCAAGCCUGCCUAGUGGGGAAAAUAGAUACAGAAAUCUGUCAAGACAACGCCGAGUGACAAAGGCUGCGCUUCAGAUGUGCACAAACCAUGGAGCAGAUGCUUUCCAUUUUGCCAGGAGGGAUGGGGACAAGCAUCAAAGAGGAGAUGAUAUUUGAGCUGAGUUUGUUUUUCAGGAGGAAAAUGGGGAAAAGGGUUUUUCAGGCAGAAGGCACAGGCCAGGCAGAGCAGCAGAGGCCAGGAAGAAUGGUGCCCUCGGGGGACGGCACACACUGAUACGUAGGGGAGAGGGGUGGGGGUGGGGUCGUGCUAGGAAGUUGAGCAGAACCAGAUGGUGAUCAUUUAGCCAACACUGGUGAGCACCGGCUCUGUGCUGAGGCCGGCCCUGCAGAGGCCACUGCACACAACACAGAAAUGGCUUCUGCUCUCCUGGACUUGACAGCUCACAGUGCAGGAGCGGUAGGGAAAACACAAACGGACCAAUGGAAAAAGGCUCAGCACACUCUAACAGACAAUUAGCUGAGCCUGCAGGAGAGCGAGAGCCUUACCUUCAGGUUCACCUCUCGGAGGAGGGGAACCUAAUCCAACAAGGAGGAAAAGAAGGGGAGAGUGGAGAGGACCUCAACCUGAAAGAGAAGAUUAGGCAGGGACCCCCCCCCAUGGGGGAGGGCACAUGGCAAAUUCAAGAAACCAGUGGCAGAAGGAAUUAAUAAAAGAACAGUCACACAAUUUGACAAGAAGGGACUGGAAAGGCAAACUGGCCACAGUGCUUGGGUCCUGCAGGCCAUGCUGGGUGUUUGUCUUGAUGCUAAAUGCAGGGGAGCCUUUGGGGUGGGGGCUCCCGAGCAAAGGGAUAGCAUGACCUGGUUUGGAGUAUUUUCUUUUCCCUUUUCUUUUUUUCUUUUCACAGCCACACCGGCAGCAUAAGGAAGUUUCCAGGCUAGGGGUGGAAUCCAAGCUGCAGCUGCUGGCCUACACCGCAGCCACAGCAACACCAGAUCAGAGCUGCAUAUGUGACUUAACGCCACAGCUCGAAACCAGUGCCGGAUCCUGAACCCACUGAGCGAGGCCAGGGAUCAAACCCACACUGUCACAGAGCCUAUUUCGGGCCUUUAGCCUGCUGAGCCACAAUGGGAACUUCCUUUUGUUUUUCUUUAAAUGGAUAACUCCAGUUCCUUAAUUUAAAAAAAAAUGGAUUGAAAGGAGAUUGGAGACAGAUUCUCACUGGAGGCUUCAUAAUCAUCCUGCUGAGAAAAAAAGCCAGGCUAGAACUGAUGUGCUGGCAACACGGACGGAGGGAGCAGUCCCAAGAGAAGGUCUGCCUUAGGAAAACACCUCAUGAGGAGCCCCAGACAGCAACUUCCUCCUUGCAUAUAUAGCAAGUUCUCUUUCAGGAUGUAUAUAAUGAAAAGAGUACCUUUCCUCUUCUCCAUCUGCCUUAAUCUGCCUGAAUUCACAGUUGCAGUGCCACUUGGCCCCAGGCAUAAGGAAGCUCUACCCAACCCACACAGGCACUGAUGCUGGCAGACACUGGAAGAGGCAAGGGUAACACACAGAUUUUCCAUUUUGCCACUGCUGGGAGGCCCUAUGACAACCUGUCCAGCCAAGUUUCCCAUCAGCCUGAACCCCUGAGGAGCUGGGAUCUGAGGAGUACUGGGGAAGGGAUGGCUUGACAAAGAGAAGGGCCGAUGGCACGCAGGAGACAUGCAGCUGCUCCCUCCUCUCAAACCCUCUAGGAUGCCUGUCCUGUGAAAGACACCUUUGGGGAUUUAACAGGAUUUUAGGACAGAGUUUUUACUGGGGUUUUCAAACCUUUCAAAUCCCAGUCCUAGAUCUCAAAGAUCUCCAAAGAUCAUUUACUCUAACCCCCUUUUUUGACAGAUGGGCAAACUAAGAUUCAAGAAGAAUGACUUAUCUGAAGUCAAGAAGCUAGUUUUUUAGCAGAGGAGGAGCUGCAGGGCUGGUCGUAAUUCUCAGAUCUGAGCCCUUUCUCUAUGACUCCACACACAGUCCCCUGGAUAAUUUGUCAAGCAUCUAUUACACUCUGGGCUCUUGUUCUCCAGGCCACUAGAGAAAUGCACUUUUGCAGAAGGAUAUCCUAGGCUUAUUGAGAAUCUUGAACAUCGUCAUGGUCCCAUGACACGGUGAACUCCUGAGAGCAAGGGACACGUCUUGUAGCCUCUACAUAUCCAGUCAAGGAACCAGGAAGAUAGUCCCGUUUAUCACUGCAGAGAAUAAAGGGAGGCAUCCUGUGGUGGCUGAAGAUGGUUCGCAGCUAUAAAAUGGGGCCAAGUGCUGUGUGGUGCAGAGAGUGUUCCAAGCAGCUCUGCUAUGCUGGAGGGUCUCCGAAUGGAGACUCUGCAGUAAUCUUUCUGGCUCCCUCGAGGGCCUUGAGUACUACACCAGGUGGAGCUGAUGGAUGUGUCGUCUGGUUCUACCAGCAAAAGUGAGGUGUCUUAUUUGCUCAAACCUGAGGGCACAGCUUGCUAUCCCAGCAUAGUUAGAGGUGUGGCCCUGGCCAACCAGCCAUGAUUCAUGUCUCCAGGAAAAGACUUCUUUGCUCCAGCCUUUGGACUAUUGCUAAGGGGUUAAUCACGCAGACUUCAGAGCCAGACCAAUGAGCUUAGAUUCCCAUCUCUGCUGCUCACUGUGAAGCCAAUUGCUUGACUCCCUCAGCUUUGAUUUCUUCAGGUGCAAUGGGUUCCUCUUGCACCACUUUGAGAGGCAGGACAGCUGAGGCCUCUGGCUGCUUCUCUCAUCCAUCUAGACUCACUUCCAUAGUGAUCUUACCCAGGGCUUUAAAUACGGUGCACAGGUCAGAGAUUCUUACAUGUUGAUCUACCCCAGACCUCUCCUCAAACCCUAGAGUCACAGAAAGACAAACACUGUAUGAUAUCACCUAUAUGUAGAAUCUAAAAUGUGGCACAAGUGUGCCUAUCAACAGAACAGAAACAGAGUCACCAACAUGGAGAAAAGACUUGAGGUUGCCAAAGGGAUUGGGAGAGACAGUGGGAUAGCCUGGAAGUUUGGGGGUAGUAGAUGCGAACUAUUACAUUUAAAAGGGAAAAGGAAAGUUCUCGCUCAGUGAUAAUGAACCUUGCUAGUAUCCAUGAGGACUCAGGUUCAAUCCCUUGCCUGGAUCAGCGGGUUAAGAAUCUGGCAUUGCCGUAGCUGUUGUGUAGGCCAGGCAGCUAUAGCUCCGAUUUGGCCCCUAUCCUGGGAACCUCCAUAGGCCACAGGUGCAGCCCUAAAAAGACAAAAAAUAAAAAUAAAAUAAUAAGCAAUAAGCAAUGAGGUCCUGCUAUAUAGUACAGGAAACUAUAUCCAGUCUCUUGUGAUAGAACAUAAUGGAAGAUGAUAUGAGAAAAAGAAUGUGUGUCUAUAUAUAUACAUACACAUAUACAUACAUAUGUAUGACUGGGUCACUUUGCUGUACAGCAGAAAUUGACUCAUUGUCAAUGGGAACAUACUUCCCCUGGUUACCCACAUGACUUGCCCUCUCAUUCUUUUCAGAUUUCUGCUCAAAUGUCACUUUGUCAGAGAGGCCUUCCCUUAUCCUCCUGCAUGACAGCAACCUCCCUUCUUGCACCAUCACCCUCCACAUGCUGCUUUAUUCUCCCUCAUCGUCUUACUGCCACCUGAAACAGUCAUUCAGUUGUUUGUUAUCUGAGAGCAAGGACUUGACCCUGAUCACCACUAGGUCGCCAGCAUCAGAAUUGUGCUUGGCCCAUAGAGGGUGUUUAUAUAUUUUGUUGAAUGAAUACAUUGGAGGUAAUCGAUUACUUAAUAAGUAACAGGAUGUGGAGGGAUGGAGUGGGAUGGUGUGUGUAAAUCCUCCUGCAUAUUGUCUGUAGCUGAUCCUUCUCCCAGGGGAGCUUCCAACAUGAUGGCUGGUCAUGGUCAGUGAUGGAGUCAAAAAACCACUCCAGCCCCAUUAUGCAAGAAUGGCGAACUUGAACUUCUUCCAGUUCUUGUACUAAGAUUUAUCUUUUUUAUAUUAUUUAAGCAAACCGACAAAGUGCUAUUCCUGAUGGUAUAGCUGCAGGAACUGAGGUUUGGAGGGGUUAGAAAUGUAGAUUGCACAUGUAUAAAAGAGCUUGUAUGUAACACCAGUGCAAUGACUUCUCUGUCCAAAGGUCUGCCUCUGGCAGGCAAUUGAGGACCUGUUGGCCUACUAGGCCUCAUUAGACCCCAACUAUCCCUACAGGCCAGAUUUUAAAAGGCAAAGAAGAAGGAACUAUAAGAACAGAGUGGGGUCCUCUUCCAAAAAUUGGGCCUGUGAAGAAAACAGCCCUUAAAACUUUAAUUCUUCCAUCAUAGAGGAAAUUAGGUCAGCCACACAUGAACCUUUCCAAUACUUCUUUAGAGAAAAUCUACCAGGGAAGCACCAAAGUGGCUAUGUAUUUGAGCACACAGGUAAGAUUUAGCCUGCGUUUCUACUUCCAAAUCUUGCCAAGUUGUCCUCUGUCAGUUGAAGGAAUAUGGCAAUAAAUAGAUUCAGGCCUCACACACACACACACGACAGAAAUAACUGCAGCAACUGUGUCACUAGGUUCAGACUCACAGAUACAAGGCUCCCAAGGACUUUAAAGAUGUGACCCCAGGUCUCAGGUUUCCUAAGCAAUUCUGAAUCAGGAAGAACAAACAACUGUAAGAUCAAAGGCAUUGAAAUGAUGAGAGUGAAAGAGGAAGAGCACCAUGUUGGGAGGCUAAAAGCUCAAAAUAGAUACUGUUAUGCACAGAUAGGGAAGGGUGUGUAGCAUGCACGUCAUGCAGUGUUUUGUAUGUAAAGAGAGAGAUUCUGCAAGCAUGUAUAAUAAAACAUCAAAGGACUUAUCUCUGAAUAGUGGGAACAUUCAUGGGAUUUUUAUCUCUUUUGUCCUUAUCUUUAUUUUUUUUUCUGCAAUGAACAUAUUUCAUUUGUAUAAUAAGAAGGAAAAAGAAGCUAUUAGCCAGAAGAUAGAUAGCAAGCCUCACCAUUGCCCGGACAGCAUGGUCCCUGGUUUCAAGCAGUCCACCAGCAAGUCCAGCCUCCCCCAUGCUGGUAGAGGUUGGAGCUUGGCCUUUCUCCCAGUUUGCUGGGCUCAAAAGCGCCUGAUUCCUCAACUUUAGCCCUCUUCUGACCCAAGCAUAUACGUCACUCAUCCUAACAUGCACAUUUUUGCUUUGAAAAAUUAGCCUUCAUAAAAAUAAUAAUAAAAGAGAAAUUCGCAAGUAUCAGUCCCAUGGGAAGGGAAAUGAUCAACCGAAAUAAUAGGUGAGAUAUGCACAUCACAAUGAAAGUGAUCAGCCAUAUGUCUCCUAAUAAUUUUUUUUUUUUUUUUUUUUUUUUUUUUUUUGCUUUUUAGGGCUGCACCAGAAGCAUAUGGAGUUUCCCAGGCUAGGGGUCGAAUCAGAGCCACAGCUGUCAGUCUACACUGCAGCCAGAGCAACU